GUGUCAGCAGCCGCGGUAAUACGUAGGGUGCGAGCGUUGUCCGGAAUUACUGGGCGUAAAGAGCUCGUAGGUGGUUUGUCGCGUCGUCUGUGAAAUUCCGGGGCUCAACUCCGGGCGUGCAGGCGAUACGGGCAUAACUUGAGUGCUGUAGGGGAGACUGGAAUUCCUGGUGUAGCGGUGAAAUGCGCAGAUAUCAGGAGGAACACCGAUGGCGAAGGCAGGUCUCUGGGCAGUAACUGACGCUGAGGAGCGAAAGCAUGGGUAGCGAACAGGAUUAGAUACCCUGGUAGUCCAUGCCGUAAACGGUGGGCGCUAGGUGUGGGGGUCUUCCACGACUUCUGUGCCGUAGCUAACGCAUUAAGCGCCCCGCCUGGGGAGUACGGCCGCAAGGCUAAAACUUAAAGGAAUUGACGG
RNAcentral lists this ribosomal RNA (414 nucleotides) under uncultured bacterium. RNAcentral's name for it is "bacterial SSU rRNA". It matches the Rfam family "Bacterial small subunit ribosomal RNA", at positions 505 to 916 of the family's 1533-position model. The record is from RNAcentral.